Molecule: ribosomal RNA, 435 nt
Filed under: uncultured bacterium
Lineage: Bacteria
Description: partial 16S ribosomal RNA
Rfam family: Bacterial small subunit ribosomal RNA
Source: RNAcentral
AGCGAACGCUGGCGGCAGGCUUAACACAUGCAAGUCGAGCGGGCACUUUCGGGUGUCAGCGGCGGACGGGUGAGUAACGCGUGGGAACGUGCCCUCUGGUUCGGAAUAACUCAGGGAAACUUGAGCUAAUACCGGAUACGCCCUUUUGGGGAAAGGCUUGCUGCCGGAGGAUCGGCCCGCGUCUGAUUAGCUAGUUGGUGAGGUAACGGCUCACCAAGGCGACGAUCAGUAGCUGGUCUGAGAGGAUGAUCAGCCACACUGGGACUGAGACACGGCCCAGACUCCUACGGGAGGCAGCAGUGGGGAAUAUUGGACAAUGGGCGCAAGCCUGAUCCAGCCAUGCCGCGUGAGUGAUGAAGGUCUUAGGGUUGUAAAGCUCUUUUAUCCGGGACGAUAAUGACGGCACCGGAGGAAUAAGCCCCGGCUAACUUCGUG